RNAcentral lists this long non-coding RNA (2116 nucleotides) under Homo sapiens (human). RNAcentral describes it as "novel transcript". The record is from RNAcentral. Lineage: Eukaryota; Metazoa; Chordata; Mammalia; Primates; Hominidae.
GAGCUGCAAAAUGGUAACUAGAAAGGAGGAAAAAAUACCUCUUCCUCCCUCCUGGCCAGCCCUUCCACAGCUCCCGGCAGGGCAGCCAGCGCGAGCCCAUCCCCCACGCCUCCCAGCCCAGACGCGCGGCGGGCACAGAUUAAAGCCAGUGAAUAAAACUAAAGGUCACUUUAAAGGAGUAUAAAGCUACAGUGGACAUAACGUGGCAUAGGUGAUCUUGACACCACAGAACUGUGAAGCCUGCAAUCCUACAAUAUAGAGGGGUAUGAGGAAGACAUCUCAGGAUACUGAAGAGUGUUGCAGAGGACCCACAAAUAGUCCUGAGCAUGAGAUGGUGGACAACAAACCCAUUUUUGGUGUGGGUAAAAUCAUUAGCGACAUCUUUUUCUUUUUUUUUUUUUCAGCAGUUUGAAGAUGUGUCAUUCCAUUUAUUUUUUCAUAAUUUCUGUUAAAAAGACUGCAGCUGCCCUUACUGUUGUACCUUUGAAGGUGUUGCAGCAAGAGCGCUGGCCUGCCAUGAUCUGCUACAUUCUACCUGGAAAUACAAGUCAGAAGUCAGCCUGUCAUAUUUUUUCAAAAGGUGACUUGUCAAAAUGAGACUUCUUUCAUAAAAUCAGUCUGGUUGGGCAUGGUGGCUCACGCCUGUAAUCCUAGCACUUUGGGAGGCUGAAGUAGGUGGAUGGCUUGAGCCCAGGAGUUUGAGACCAGCCUGGGCAACAUGGCAAAAUCCCAUCUCUACAAAAAAUACAAAAAUUAGCCGGGCAUAGUGUCACACACCUGUGGUCCCAGCUACUCAGGAGACUGAGAUGGGAGGAUCACCUGAGCCCGGGAGGUUAAGGCUGCAGUGAGCCAGGAUUGGGCCACUGCACUACAGCAUGGGUGACAGAGUGAAAUGCUGUCUCAAAAAACAACAACAAAAAAUCUCUCAAUCUGUCCAAAUAGUUAGAUUGUCUUCAGUAAUCUUUCCAUCGCGAUCUUGCUUUGUUUCUACUACUACUCUGAUGCUACAUAAUUAAGGUCACCAAUCGUUGUCACUGUCUUUCCAAACCUGUUGUUCCUUACUUCCUCCGGCCAUUCUUCCUUGUCCCCCUCCCAUUCAUCAUCCAGACACACACACACACACACACACACACACACACACACACACACACAUACAUUUUAACAAUACCAAACUCCUUGUAGUUCCCCUAAAUGAAUCAUGUUGUUUCCCUUACCUGAAAUGCCCAAUCCCUUUUUUAUUUUCAUUGCUAACUCCUCUCAUCUUUCCAGAGUGUUCACGUCUACCAGGAGUGUUCUUGUCCCUCCCAUUCCUUUCUACUCUAGCUCCACUCACAGUUCUGUGUAAUCCCAUCUUGUGGACUAACCCGUGUUAAAAAGAUUUGUUUGCUGAUUUGAUUCUUCCCUCCACUACACCCCCCCAUAACACAAAAUGAGUCCCUUAAAAGCAGAAAUGUUGCCUCACUGGUCUCCAGCACCCAGUGGAGUAUUUGGUAUGAAUGUCGGUCGAACUGUACUCUCUCCAGUGUGCAUUUUGUUCCAGGAAGACUAGGUAAUAGCAGGAGCAUUAGAAGCCUCAUCUUCAGGGCUGUUUGACAUUGAUUUUUUAAAAAAUACAUUUCCUGAGGUCUCACUAGUGCCAGAAUAUGAAAAAAAUAAUCAUUCUUCUCUGACUAAAGUGGAAUCACCAGUGAUUUAUUCUCUCCUUAAUCAGUAAUACUAGCUAACAUUUAUAUAGCCCUCACUAGGUCCCAAGCACUUUGAACAUAUCAUCUUAUUUCAUGUCUAUAACCACCUUCAGGUAGGCACUGUUGUUACCCUCCAAUUUACAAAGGAGGAAACUGAAGUGCAGGGAGGUUAAGUAAGUGGCAAGCUAGAAUCUGGAUACAGGUUGUCUGGUUCCAGGGACCAGGCAGUUAGCCAUUAUGCUAUGCGGCAUGAUUUCUUGCUUUCCUUGCCCUUUUUUCUUAAAUGUUUAAUUACAUAAGUAGCAUAUCAAUACAUUUAAAUUGUCAAAAAUUCAGAAACAAAGCAAAAACUCACUACUAUUUGAUGGGUAUCUUUCAAGAUCUUUUUCUUUGUUUACAUACAUAUAUACAUUAUGUGUGUGUACAUAUAC